CAACAGUAAUUCGCAUUUUGUUUUUGUUUUCGUUUCUGCGUGUGCGUGUGUAUUUGUCUUCAGUCAAUUUACUUAAUUCACGCAUAAUUUUUUGUUCUGUUUUGUUUUUGUUUAUUUUGCUCAGAAAUUAAGUGGCUAAGCGCAAGAAUUUAAGAGAACAUUCAAAUCGAAUAUACAGAAAAAAAAAAGUUCCAACGAAAUAAAUAAUAUCAAAGAAAUAUGGCCGAUAUAUUAAACAUUGAGCAGCACGAGUCUGUGGAGGAGUUCAGACAAAAUCUGGAGGAAAUGUUGCCCGAAGUAUGCGAACAACAAC
This is an unclassified non-coding RNA of Drosophila navojoa, 313 nucleotides long. The record is from RefSeq and is a predicted model, not a curated record. Lineage: Eukaryota; Metazoa; Arthropoda; Insecta; Diptera; Drosophilidae.